UAUUAAGAAUUUCAUCCAUUAUUACUGUUAAAAAUUGACAUGGUUGACAAAAUAAUCAAAUAAUAACUUGUGGCAUGCCACAUGUACCUCUUAUUGACAUACAGAGACCAACUUUAAUAGUAGAAAUAAAUGAAAUUUUUAAUA
This 144-nucleotide microRNA precursor is filed under the name Gossypium arboreum. RNAcentral describes it as "MIR7502 microRNA precursor family". It matches the Rfam family "MIR7502 microRNA precursor family". The record is from Rfam by way of RNAcentral. Lineage: Eukaryota; Viridiplantae; Streptophyta; Magnoliopsida; Malvales; Malvaceae.